GGCACGAGUGGCAUAGACAUCGAUCUACAGAAAGUCGAUAUUGACCAGUGUCCACUACACGGGGAUGGAGAGGAUAACGUGUUUGCCGGAAGUGCCAGGUGCAGACCAAGGACCACACAGACAGGAGCUCUUAAACAUUCCGUCGGGCAGGGAUGUGGAGAUCAGAGAAAAGAUGGAUGGAAGAACGGAGGAAGCCACAUCUCUCUGACACGACAACCGCCUUAUAUAUUCAGCGCUACAAAUUUGAUGAAGAUUGAUUUAUCACCGGGAUAUCACGAUCAAAUGGAUUUAUCGUGUCUCUUGUGUUACAAAUUUGUCAGCUUUGCGUCAAGAAAUUAACCACCACCCUCCUCAUGAAUAAAGAGGUUUGUUAGCCCAGUUGUCGUCCUUGUCAGGCUGACCGCUACAGGGUUGCGGUCAACCCGUUACGGGAACUCACAUCCACAUGUCGAGGUCGGGAUCAGAAAACAAGUGACCUUGGUGAAGGAAUUAAAAUCCCCCUUCCCCCUCC
This is a long non-coding RNA of Aplysia californica (California sea hare), 511 nucleotides long. RefSeq lists it as uncharacterized. The transcript is spliced from 2 exons. Lineage: Eukaryota; Metazoa; Mollusca; Gastropoda; Aplysiida; Aplysiidae. The record is from RefSeq and is a predicted model, not a curated record.